GAUGAACGCUGGCGGCGUGCCUAAUACAUGCAAGUCGAGCGAACGGACGAGAAGCUUGCGUCUCUGAUGUUAGCGGCGGACGGGUGAGUAACACGUGGAUAACCUACCUAUAAGACUGGGAUCACUUCGGGAAACCGGCGCUAAUACCGGAUAAUAUUUUGAACCGCAUGGUUCAAAAGUAAAAGACGGUCUUGCUGUCACUUAUAGCUGGAUCCGCGCUGCAUUAGCUGGUUGGUAAGUUAACGGCUUACUAAGGCAACGAUGCAUAGCCGACCUGUGAGAGUGAUAGGCCACACGGGAACGGAGACACGGUCCAGACUCCUACGGGAGGGAGCAGUAGGGAAUCUUCCGCAGUGGGCGAAAGCCUGACGGAGCAACGGCGCGUGAGUUAUGGCGGUCUUCGGAGCGUAAAACUCUGUUAUGAGGGAAGAACAGAUGUGUAAGUAACUGUGCACAUCUUGACGGUACCUAAUCAGAAAGCCACGGCUAACUACGUG
RNAcentral lists this ribosomal RNA (497 nucleotides) under uncultured bacterium. RNAcentral describes it as "partial 16S ribosomal RNA". It matches the Rfam family "Bacterial small subunit ribosomal RNA", at positions 28 to 507 of the family's 1533-position model. The record is from RNAcentral.